GUGAGUAACACGUGGGCAACCUGCCUGUAAGACUGGGAUAACUCCGGGAAACCGGAGCUAAUACCGGAUACUAUGUCAAACCGCAUGGUUUGACAUUCAAAGACGGUUUCGGCUGUCACUUACAGAUGGGCCCGCGGCGCAUUAGCUAGUUGGUGAGGUAAUGGCUCACCAAGGCGACGAUGCGUAGCCGACCUGAGAGGGUGAUCGGCCACACUGGGACUGAGACACGGCCCAGACUCCUACGGGAGGCAGCAGUAGGGAAUCUUCCGCAAUGGACGAAAGUCUGACGGAGCAACGCCGCGUGAGUGAUGAAGGUUUUCGGAUCGUAAAACUCUGUUGUCAGGGAAGAACAAGUGCCGGAGUAACUGCCGGCGCCUUGACGGUACCUGACCAGAAAGCCACGGCUAACUACGUGCCAGCAGCCGCGGUAAUACGUAGGUGGCAAGCGUUGUCCGGAAUUAUUGGGCGUAAAGCGCGCGCAGGCGGUUUCUUAAGUCUGAUGUGAAAGCCCCCGGCUCAACCGGGGAGGGUCAUUGGAAACUGGGAAACUUGAGUGC
RNAcentral lists this ribosomal RNA (557 nucleotides) under Bacillus sp. (in: firmicutes). Its description in RNAcentral is "bacterial SSU rRNA". It matches the Rfam family "Bacterial small subunit ribosomal RNA", at positions 106 to 649 of the family's 1533-position model. Lineage: Bacteria; Bacillati; Bacillota; Bacilli; Caryophanales; Bacillaceae. The record is from RNAcentral.